Molecule: ribosomal RNA, 514 nt
Filed under: uncultured bacterium
Lineage: Bacteria
Description: partial 16S ribosomal RNA
Rfam family: Bacterial small subunit ribosomal RNA
Source: RNAcentral
GACGAACGCUGGCGGCGUGUUUAACACACGCAAGUCGAACGGAGAUUUUAGCAAUAGAAUCUUAGUGGCGAACGGGUGAGUAACGCGUAGGCAAUCUGCCUUCUAGAUGGGGACAACAUCCCGAAAGGGGUGCUAAUACCGAAUGUUGUAACGACUUCGCAUGAAGUUGUUACUAAAGGUGGCCUCUGAAUAUGCUACCGCUAGAAGAUGAGCCUGCGUCUGAUUAGCUAGUUGGAGGGGUAACGGCCCACCAAGGCUUCGAUCAGUAGCCGGUCUGAGAGGAUGAACGGCCACACUGGGAAUGAGCCACGGCCCUGACUCCUACGGGAGGCAGCAGUGGGGAAUCUUCCGCAAUGGACGAAAGUCUGACGGAGCAACGCCGCGUGAGUGAAGAAGGUUUUCGGAUCGUAAAGCUCUUUCGUUAGGGACGAACGUGCUCUUUGUGAAUAAUGAGGAGUAAUGACGGUACCUAAAUAAGAAGCCACGGCUAACUACGUGCCAGCAGCCGCCGUAA